Long non-coding RNA from Nothobranchius furzeri (turquoise killifish), 5863 nucleotides. RefSeq lists it as uncharacterized. The record is from RefSeq and is a predicted model, not a curated record. Lineage: Eukaryota; Metazoa; Chordata; Actinopteri; Cyprinodontiformes; Nothobranchiidae.
AGUCCAUAUUUUGCUGAGUGUCCUGCAAUGAUGCAGGUUAUUAGUUAAUUUACUUUUGAUAGCAAAGAACAAAAUAUUUAAUGUAAAAGUUAUUUACCAGGUGAAUCAGCUCACACGUCACCAGUGUCACAGGGGCAGAGUCAGUAGCCUCCUUCAUGAUGUCAUGAUGUAAUCACAUACUUAUUUAAUUGUUAAUAUCUUAAAAAUUCUGAAAUGUUUAAUUUUUUUUUUUACCUUGAACAGUUCACUGAGCUUGCACUGUCACUGAGGUGGAAGCUGGAAUCAACAGCAGACACCUCACAUCUUGGUCUUUUCAGGGGUGUGGACGCUGCUCUGGGACUUUCUGGAAGAUGAAUUUCCGUCAUGGUCCCCGUGUCACAAGACACACUGAGGCUGUGAGCUCUAUUCUGGGUGGCUAUGUAAAAACAAAGAAGGAGCACAUUUAUAAAUGUUUAAAAGAGCAUAAAAUCACGUGUAACAAUAAUCUGUAAAACAAAUUAAAACUAGAAGGUGAUAAUAAAAUGUUUACAUAGACGAUUAUUCAAAAUAAUUCACCUUUGCUUCACGUCAGCCUGGACAAGUGCAUUCUUGCAGACUUCUAAAUCAGUCUGACAGCCAAUGUCUUGGGUAGAUUUAGCCUGAAAAAAAUAAUAGAAGCACAUUGUUGUUGGAGUUUAUAAAGUUAGAUAAAAUACAAAAGAAACUGUCCCAUAUAGGCGCUUUAUAACAUUCCUAGUGUGUGAUUGUUAUUAUAACGUAAAAAUCAGUCACAUAUGAUGUGGAGAGCCUGAAAUGCGACCUCCUGAACAGAAUUCCUCACGGAACCAGGUCACAAGCUGGAUUUCACGCUGUAAUGCUGUCUGUCAACUGGUGCUGUGUUAGUUCGAGUCACUGUUAGCAGAAUUACCGACUGACACAAAAACAACCCGAAUUUUCUCCGAGCCUGACAGUAAUAGUCAUGUGGACCAUAUCGUCGGCCAGGGCUUCGAGAUAUGUUCAGAUUCGCCGCUGAUUCUAACCUUACAUCCCGUUCCACAUUUUGUGAACUUGACAACUCAGCCCGAAGGCAGUGCAGACUGAUAUUAGCUAAAUGAAGUGAACCACGCCUCUCAAACUUUGCAUUUAGGUAGGGAAUUGUCUUUAGAAGAUGUUAAAAUUUUUAUUUAGCUUACUCACCUCAGACUGGAGCCCGCCAUGGUGGGGGAGCAGAGUCGGUGGGCUGCAUCUAAAUCGCGGAAGAGCCACGGUGGGCACAGCCUCCCUCUUCAACCGGAGACAUGCAGAACAACCCAGUUCAAACUCCAUCAUGUUGGCGAAGGGAUCACAGGUAAAAUGCUGGUUGCAAACUACAGCACCAGGCAGGAGCUGACUUUUCCAGACACCGAUUGUGCGCAAUCACUGGCGCCUAAUUUCUAAGUCCAGCGGAAAGUAGUGCAACCCCACAGGGCCACCGAACCCACAACACUACACCUUCUCACCAUACUAACACGAUAUGGAACACUAAACCCGAACUACUUUCCUAAUAACACUAACAGCUAAACACUAACUAAACUACAAUAUCCAACAGCCAAGCUAACACUAAAUAAGUAUGUAUAACACUAAAAGCUAUGCUAAAGAUUAGGAUAUGCUAAUGCUGAACUGCCGCUAACCAUCCUACACUCGCUUGCAAAUCCAACUCCCAACUCGCCACAACGCGUGGCCGAGACUCUCAAUGCUUUACAACUUUGACACAGAGCUGCUACGUAGUACUCUACUGGUUUACGUAGUAUCUUUCUCUUUAGCCAUUGGCUAAAGUGUAUUCAAAAUGAUUCAAACUCUAUGUUUUAAGCUGAAGGUGGCGCUAUACUGUGGUAUUUAGGCAGAAUUUUUAAAGAAAAUGCACCGAAAUGCUAAAAUAAUGAAUACACACAUUUAAAACACUAUUAGACACUCAUUUAUACAGUUCAUCAGAAAAAAAAUAAGUAAUUUAGACGUUACUUGCUCUUUAACUGAGAACAACAAUCCUCCACAAUAAACAUGCAUAAACACCUUAAAAUAGAGCUAAAUAACUGAAAACACGACUACCCACAAUGCAUCGUGGCCAGCAGUUGUUUAUUGUUCCUGAAAUCCACCAAAAUUGCUAGUUCAUGGUUGUUUUUUCCCAAUAAAUCCACAAAUCUUUAAAAAAAAUAUACAAGUCUGUUUAUCAGAAACACUUUCGGGUGGACGUAAAGAUGAAUGGAAUAAUAUAGAAACAUAAAAUAAUAAAUCAAUAUUUUAUUAGUUAUUAUUACUCAUUCAAGUUAAGUUGCUCUUUUUGGAUUAAUUUAAGUUAUUCUUACUUAAAAAAGAUAUAGUUCAGAUUAAUUAAAAUGUUUCAGUUCUAUGUAAUUAAAACAAGGAAUAACUCAACACAUUUAAGUUCUAAAAACAUUUUUUAUAUUAAGAGUUUCGUCUACUCAAUAUAUUUGAUUAUUUAGAAUUUUUGGGUUUACAGUGUAUGUGUAUAGGAGUGCAGGAGUGUGUGUGUGUGUGUGUGUGUGUGUGUGUGUGUGUGUGUGUGUGUGUGUGUGUGUGUGUGUGUGUGUGUGUGUGUGUGUGUGUGUGUGUGUGUGUGUGUGUGUGUGUGAAUAAGGAUUCGUGUGCAGCAGAGAAAGAAGAUAAAUCUUGAGAGAUAAUGAGAAUUUGGAUCGAAAAUAAUAAGCCAUAAAAGUUUAAGUCUGAAUUCACUAAUUGGGCUUAGCAGGAAAAGUCAGCCAGAUGAAAAUGAUUCACAGACCUGCUUUCCGUCACCAGAGAUGGCCAAAGGCUGUGGUAAGCCUGAGUCCCCAUGGGGUGAAGCCUUCAGGGACUGUAGGAAUUUUGGCCUCCGAGUUGGUCAACGGGUGUCUGUGAAUUGGAGAAUUAUGCGUUCCUCCACCGUGGCUUGACUUUAAGGUCCUCAACUCAGCUGCACCGAAACGUGGAAUUCAGAGCGCAAGUCCAGAUUCACAAACGGUGCUGAAUCAGGAGAACUGAUCCAAAUUGCUUUCAACUCUUAAUGCAUGAACUUGUCUUGAACACGUCAACUCAACUUCCGGUUGCGCGUGGGACGUCAAAACAAAACAAACGGAGUUGCUUCUAAGUUUUAUCGUAACUUUUGAGAGCUAAUUACUUUAAAGAGCCGGGUUCUGCUGGGCCAGAUGGAAAACAGCCCACAGGGCAAUGAGCUUAAGGCGACCUUUGUUCUUAAACUGCCGCCACAAGGUUCGGAUGGGUGCUUAUAUAACCUUUUGGGCAUGCCCACCUGUAUCUUACUCAAAAACCACUGGAGGGCACUGUGGCUCUUCCAAAUAAACUCUACCUUCUCCAAGAUGGAAAAAUCCAUGAUCACAAUUUAACACAGUUAUUCAUAUGAAACCUCAAAAAGUACUUUAGCAUCAAAGUAUUACUUUAAAUGGGAAAGAAUAAAAUCCAUGUCUUAAAACUGAACAGUUUUACCGUUAGCAUGAAUUUUAACUGGAGAAACACCAAAUGACAGAGGUUUAACAUAAAAGAAAACACAACACAAACAGUUUAAGUCUGUGGCUGAUAAGAUCUUAACUUAGAGCACCUUGAUUUCUAUUUUAAGGGUGAACAACCUAAAAACCUUCUUUGAUUAUAGAUAAACAGAAAAACACCAAGGCUUUGUUAAAAGCGAGAUCCUGGAAUCUUCCAGAAUGACCCUUGAGGAGUUUUACGAGCACCCGGCCUGGGAGGGAAGAGUCAGUUAUUGGCAGAUUGAGGUAAGACAGACCAAGUCCUGAUAAUGUCUGGCUUAACAAGUCACUUGGUAAAAUUUACGUUCCUGGGAGAAAAAUGUAGGAGUUAACCAGAAUGCCCAACUGCGGGCCAGUUUCAAAUUCCCCUCUUUAUUUCCUUCUGCGGAAUGUGGAAGAACCCUUUAUGCGACAAUGUUAUGGUUCUUUUCCGUGUAAAUCCAUACAAAGUUUAACCUGAGGGUAAAAAAUGUGGAUUACCGCUACACUUGUCUCUGUCAAUAGGUUCCAUUACCGGAACUUCAGGGUGUUGAACAAGAGAGUGGAGGGCUCCUCUGAUUGGAGGUAAUAUGUGCAGACACUGGGGUUCAUGAAGAAAUUACCUAAAACUCCUUUGUUGGCCAUGCAUUCUAAAGAUAAGUGUACAUUGCGGAUCACUGACACAGUAGCCACAUUUGUUUCCAUAGAAAAAGCCACAACAGUCACAGUAGUGUGAAAGUGCCUUGUUUGUUUGGCAAAUGAGCUGCAAUACCCACAUUUUGCCACAGGAUGCCAUCCUCACAUCUUUCUUACAUUAUGCACCUUUAAAAGCUGGGACAUGAACAUCCGGUCUACUUUGUGAUUCAGAUUAUGAGAUAGACUAGAGUUAAAUUCUGAAAUCAGCUGUUCCUGUCAUUUUAGACAGUGUCAUGCAGACCGUGACAGACAGAAGAAAAUGUGAACUUGUACCUAGACGGAAAAGUCAGCACAGAGAAAAUCAACUAAAACAACACAUUUUAUAUUUUGUUCUGCUGGAUUUUUGUUGGCAGCAGAACAGUUUUGGUUUCACAUCUGAUGUAAAAUAUUCAGCGAUGUGUUGGAAUUCUGACUGUCAAAUAUAAAAAAACUUUCAUUGCAUUUCAUUACUUAUGCAAAGCAUGCUAAUAUAAGUGGAGUAUAGAGCCUGCAACAUGAAAUGACAUUGUGUGUACCUCAUUAUUCUCACUUUCUUGCAGGAGAAACCUUGCAUCAGGGGAAUUAAUUUGCAGAACCAAAGGAAGGAAAGGAUGACACGGGACGUGUAGCUCGCCCACACAGACUCAGACUUUGCUCCUGACUGAGGUCCUGAAAUGAAGGAAGGAGUGUUUGACAGGAUGAGGAAGGGUAGAGAUGAGAUCCCGCCAUCCCAGCCAAGAUCUGUCAACACUGAUGAUAAGUCAGUAAUGGGAGGCUCAUUCAAGACAGAUAAAACCAGCAAGCCUUUCGAGAUCUUCUGCCUCAGUUUUCCACCGGCAGUAGUCCAACAGCCCCAGCUGAAUACUAAUUGCUGUUUAUCAGAGUCGUUGGCGUGCCAGAGGCCAAAAAGCACCACAAGUAGCCUGUUUGUCUUCUGCUCAGUCGGGCCAAAGGAACUACAGAACCACUCACUUGAACUGAAACUGAGCACUGUCAAAACAUACAACUGCAUAUUUUUGUGUUAUCUUUACCUCUGUGGUGGGGGUAACCCUAACCCUAACCAGAAGCGGAAAACACUGUAAAGAAAUCAGCUAUAAUGAGUCAUUGCAGCAGAGAAAACCAUAUAAUGGACUGGGAACACACAAGGAUCAUCACAACAGAACAACAAAAACUCAAAUGAUGGAUUAAAGAAGCAAUAGAGAUUAGGAGACACGGACCUACUGUAACACCAUGAACAGAAAUGAAGUAUACACUGAAUCACUUAUGGGACAUGGUCAUCAUCAAAGAGGGCGUGGGCAGUAGAGGGCGACAUUGUCCUCUACUGCUUGCUAACAAAACAGCAAGGAAGUGACAUCACCAGCACUCUGAGGAAGGCACCAGCGAGAGUGAAAGCUGUCAGUGAAAAAGGUAAAACAACAACCUUCUGUUAACUAUUAAGAACACCAAGUCUUUAACUUUGCCUUUUUAUUUUAUCUUUUGCUUCCCGGCCUGGGAUCUUGCAUGGAGUUUGCAUGUUCUCCCUGUGCAUGCGUGGGUUCUGUCCGAGUACUCUAGCUUCCUCCCACAGUCCAAAAACAUGACUGUUAGGUUGAUUGGUCUGUCUAAAUUGUACCUAGGUGUGAAUGUGUGUGUGUAUGAUUGCUUGUCCUGUGUGUCUCUGUGUUGCCCUGUGAUGGACUGGCACCUGGUGUACCCCGCCUGAUUGCCCGUUG